GAGAGAGAGAGAGAGAGAGAGGUGUGGUAGCAUCAUCCUCAUGUGCAUGUGCCUACCAUGUUCUUCAAGCUAGUAUGUAGCAGUAGCUUUGUAGUGGUAAAAUCACUGUUUAAUAAGUAGUGUAACUGUGUAAGGUCAUCUAGUGCAUAACUAGUGCUCUACCAGUAGGAGUGUCCAGUCGGUCUACAGACAGUGAGGGGAUCGAUAUCUGCUAAACCAGCCGGCCGGCCUGCUUGUCCUCUAAUUGAAGGGCCCUAGCUUAGCUAGAUAGCACUACUUUGCUGUCUGCGGCUUUACUUCCUGGAGAAGGAUGCGCCCUUGCCUGCCCGCCAAAUUAUGGGUGGUACGUAAUAGGGUACGAUGCAUUUGCAGCAUCAUAUCGAGCUGUACACAUGUGUUCGUUUUUAAUUUGGGUUAAGCAUUCCGUUCUUGUUUCUUUGCGCUUUCUAUCAUUAUUGAUGUGUGUGUCAUCAUGUAUAGCGCUGCUGCCCUUUAUUCAUGAAGAAGGAAUUGAACAUAUGUAAGCUUUAGGUUGCCA
This 538-nucleotide long non-coding RNA is filed under the name Zea mays. RNAcentral describes it as "drought responsive lncRNA". Lineage: Eukaryota; Viridiplantae; Streptophyta; Magnoliopsida; Poales; Poaceae. The record is from RNAcentral.